AGGUUCUCCUUUCCUUUGCAG
Molecule: microRNA, 21 nt
Filed under: Mus musculus (house mouse)
Lineage: Eukaryota; Metazoa; Chordata; Mammalia; Rodentia; Muridae
Description: mmu-miR-7010-3p
Source: miRBase by way of RNAcentral